GUCUGGGGACAUAGUUCAGGGGGUAGAGUGCUUGCCUUCCAUGCAGGAGGCCCUGGGUUCAAUCCCCGGCAACACA
RNAcentral lists this transfer RNA (76 nucleotides) under Marmota monax (woodchuck). Its description in RNAcentral is "tRNA.Gly". The stretch from base 12 to 69 matches the Rfam family "tRNA", at positions 8 to 63 of the family's 71-position model. From Rfam's summary of the family: Transfer RNA (tRNA) molecules are approximately 80 nucleotides in length. Their secondary structure includes four short double-helical elements and three loops (D, anti-codon, and T loops). Lineage: Eukaryota; Metazoa; Chordata; Mammalia; Rodentia; Sciuridae. The record is from RNAcentral.